This is a non-coding RNA of Phrynosoma platyrhinos (Desert horned lizard), 72 nucleotides long. NCBI's taxonomy places the organism in Eukaryota, Metazoa, Chordata, Lepidosauria, Squamata, Phrynosomatidae. The record is from the annotation of a GenBank genome assembly.
GGCAGCAUGGCGUAGUGGUUUGAAUGCCGGACAAUGACUCUGGAGACUUGAGUUCAAUUCCCAGCUUCGCUA